RNAcentral lists this ribosomal RNA (456 nucleotides) under uncultured bacterium. RNAcentral describes it as "partial 16S ribosomal RNA". It matches the Rfam family "Bacterial small subunit ribosomal RNA", at positions 355 to 803 of the family's 1533-position model. The record is from RNAcentral.
UAGGGAAUCUUCGGCAAUGGACGAAAGUCUGACCGAGCAACGCCGCGUGAGUGAAGAAGGUUUUCGGAUCGUAAAACUCUGUUGGUAGAGAAGAACGUUGGUGAGAGUGGAAAGCUCAUCAAGUGACGGUAACUACCCAGAAAGGGACGGCUAACUACGUGCCAGCAGCCGCGGUAAUACGUAGGUCCCGAGCGUUGUCCGGAUUUAUUGGGCGUAAAGCGAGCGCAGGUGGUUUAUUAAGUCUGGUGUAAAAGGCAGUGGCUCAACCAUUGUAUGCAUUGGAAACUGGUAGACUUGAGUGCAGGAGAGGAGAGUGGAAUUCCAUGUGUAGCGGUGAAAUGCGUAGAUAUAUGGAGGAACACCGGUGGCGAAAGCGGCUCUCUGGCCUGUAACUGACACUGAGGCUCGAAAGCGUGGGGAGCAAACAGGAUUAGAUACCCUGGUAGUCCACGCCGU